UUUAGCUUUCUUUGGAAAUUACCUUAUUUUGAAAAUUUCCCAAUAUUAUAUCGUGAUCCUCGCCAAUUCUGAUCAAACACACCACCUCCAUAUUGAAAGAGCCACGUUAAACCAGGCUUCCAAGUCUCAAUAAAUACCCCAAAUUUGCCCUCCCAUUGUGGGAGGUGCUGAGGCCCUGGGAAAAAUAAACUCAGCCUUGUCUUAUCAAUAGUCUUGGUGAUUUUGGGGAGAUGGCAUUCGAUAGAAAGAGAAGACAUUUGGAGGCAACUGUGUAUGUGAGCUUGAGUUAUUCAGGAGGGUUUCUUCCUUGCUCAAGUUCAGAGGGAUGAUAGCAUAAAUAUUCUUUCUUUUUUCCUAUAUGGAAAAAUCUAGAGUUUUGGGGGCUGGAAGGAAUCCAGGAGAUGACCUAACGCCUUCCUUCCCGUAUGGAUGAGGUCACUGGGACUCACAGGGAACAAGAAGAAACUCUAUGUUCUGUUUUGCAGAAACUGAUGUUCCCGGUUUGCAGAUGUUGCUACCUUGCAGAGAAAUUAACACACUUGCCCCAAGACCCCUGCAAAUUGUUCCAGCUCCAAGCGUCCUAAAGCUACCUUAAGCUCAUUAGCAUCUUAAAUUCUCCUCCUCUGGGAGGGUCCCAGCCCCCAUUUCCAGAUCAGGGGGUGUACACAGUGGCAUGUUUACCUGCUACACAUGUGCCCUGAAAGAGCACAGUUGUUACAUGGCUGUUACAAAUAGACCUGUUUCCUCUGCUCUCUUGUGGAUGAAGUCUCCAGGGGCACUGAGCCCGGAGAGACACUGCGUUGGGUAACAUCCCAGGUGUUCUCCAUUGCUUGUGCAGGCAAUAAAGCUUUUCUUCACCCA
RNAcentral lists this long non-coding RNA (861 nucleotides) under Equus caballus (horse). RNAcentral describes it as "lncRNA (ENSECAG00000038361.2)". Lineage: Eukaryota; Metazoa; Chordata; Mammalia; Perissodactyla; Equidae. The record is from RNAcentral.